AAAGGCUAGAGAUUUAUUUGAACGUGCUCUCACAGCUGCUGGUUUGCAUUUCACCGAGGCUGAAAAAUUAUGGGAAGCAUAUAGAGAUUUUGAGAAAGCCAUAUACCAAACCAUUGCUGAAACCGAUACUCAGGCAAAGGAAAAACAAGUCCAGCUAAUCCGGAGCAUUUUCCAUCGCCAGUUGUCACUUCCUCUAUCUAACAUGAAUUCAACACUUGAGGCCUAUAAAACAUG
RNAcentral lists this unclassified non-coding RNA (234 nucleotides) under Hevea brasiliensis (rubber tree). The record is from RNAcentral. Lineage: Eukaryota; Viridiplantae; Streptophyta; Magnoliopsida; Malpighiales; Euphorbiaceae.